RNAcentral lists this ribosomal RNA (325 nucleotides) under uncultured eukaryote. RNAcentral describes it as "partial 18S ribosomal RNA". It matches the Rfam family "Eukaryotic small subunit ribosomal RNA", at positions 1470 to 1796 of the family's 1831-position model. The record is from RNAcentral.
CCCUUAGAUGUCCUGGGCCGCACGCGCGCUACACUGAACGGAUCAGCGCGUUUUCCCUUCCCGAGAGGGACGGGUAACCUGCUGAACCCCGUUCGUGGUAGGGAUCGGGGCUUGCAAUUAUUCCCCGUGAACCAGGAAUGCCCAGUAAGUGCAAGUCAUAAGCUUGCGUUGAUUACGUCCCUGCCCUUUGUACACACCGCCCGUCGCUACUACCGAUUGACGUUUUAGUGAGGUACUCGGACUGAGCCUCAGAAGAUUCACGUCUUUUGUGCUGCUCGGGAAGAUUCCCAAACUUGAGCGUUUAGAGGAAGUAAAAGUCGUAACA